AGCCUUUCACCCUAGAGCGGUGUCCAGGGACCAGAGACCGGGAGCCGAAAAAUCGGCAGAGAGGUACCGAAGCAUUAGGGAAAAGAUUACCAGAGAGCGGGGAGGGUUUCCUGGCGAAACGCGGAGGCUGAGCAGAUGGAGGAACAAUGCCUCCUCCGCGAGAAAACCCUCGCUUGAGGCCGGGGCGGAGCGCGGAGGAGCUGCCUCCAGCCUCGGGCUCUCCCUUCCGGGCCCUCCGGCUCGUUCUGGGGCCGGUGCAGCCUCGUAGUUUGACAGGGCUAGGAAAGUUGCUCUUCCCCACAUUUCCUGCGAAGUGGUUUUCAGUUCUGCGUGGUUCCAGUCAAGAUGUCACUCCGUAGAUCCCCUGCGAUGAGCAGCUAAUAGAUUAUGCAUUAUGGGGCAGUCGAGUCCCCGGGCAGAACAGAGAGGGAGUCCAAACAUUUCCAACCUUCUCCUUCGGCUCCUGACCGGCCAGCCCAAUGCUUUGUUGUCUGGUCAGCAUGUGAAACAUAUACCCUCUGAGCACCUGUACUCUACGGCACUCUUCUCGGAGCUUGGAAUACACCAGUAUAUUUUAACCCCGCAUCCCCACACUGUGAAGCCUAAUGUCUUUUUUAACUACUUAAUGAUCUCCUGGCCCUGGGCUAAUUAAGCACCAUUUGAAGAAUCAUAUUGUUGUGCACGUGAUGUGGUGUUUUAGUAAACUGGCUCCUGAGGGGGAAAAACCUUUAAAAAUGAAAAGCCAUAAUGUACUAUUGGAUUAUUUUCUUGGUGUAAAUAUUAUACAAUGGCCAGUUUCUAGCUACAGCAUCAUACCACGUACUUGAGUUGGGCAUGUGCAGAAUGGCCUCCUCGGAGCCAGUACAGCCAGCCUUCAGCAUGGUCCUGGCAUGUCUUGUUUUGUGUUCUGAGUUUAUUGAUAUACUUCUAACUUGACUUCAUUCAUCUGUACAGUGGAGAAACUAUUUUGCAAUUAUUAUAGAGAUGGAGUUUACUGCUGAAUAGUUUUGGUGGAAUCAAAAGCAGGAGGAUGCAAGCUAUCAAAAAGAUCACCUUAAUCAUAGAUCUUUAUAUGUGAAAAUAAUUUUAAAUUUAGAUGUGAAAAACAACAGACAAUUAAAAAAUAAACUCACAGAUGGUAUACA
This 1145-nucleotide long non-coding RNA is filed under the name Bos indicus x Bos taurus (hybrid cattle). RNAcentral's name for it is "lncRNA (ENSBIXG00005016752.1)". The record is from RNAcentral. Lineage: Eukaryota; Metazoa; Chordata; Mammalia; Artiodactyla; Bovidae.